UGUAGUGUCUUCCAUGUUUUCAUUCAUUUAACAUUAUUUCAUGUGUCAAGGUCUAUUAUUGUUGUGGUUUUCAUGAUUUCCCUCUUUAGGUUCAAAUUUGAUGAUGAACGGGGAACAAAGGAAGACAUAAAGAGGGCGUUAGAGGAGCAGUAUGGUGGUGAGGAAGAGGUAGGCAUUUACCAGCAUUACUUCAGGAGCUUUUUCUUCCUAUAUCAUUGUUUUGAUUACGAAGUUAUCUUGUUUCCUCUUGCUGCUUUGCUCAACAGUUGCCGCAGACAAAUCUUGGUUUCAAUAAUACCCCAUUUAAAUUUAAGAAAUAUUCAAAUGCAUACAUGCUUGUGUAUAUACGUGAAAGUGACAAGGAGAAGAUAAUGUGGAUGAAAAGGACAUCGCAGGGCAUCUUAGGAUAAGGUUGAAGAAAGAACAAGAAGAAAAAGAGGACAAAAGAAGAUACAAAGCUCAGGCUCACCUUUAUACUAUUAUCAAGGUUGCACGUGAUGAAGACCUAGUAGAACAGAUUGGAAAGGAUAUUUAUUUUGAUCUUGUGGAUCAUGAAAGGGUUCAUAGUUUUCGUAUUCAGAAGCAGAUGCGUUUAACCUUUUCAAG
Non-coding RNA from Camellia sinensis, 606 nucleotides. Lineage: Eukaryota; Viridiplantae; Streptophyta; Magnoliopsida; Ericales; Theaceae. The record is from RefSeq and is a predicted model, not a curated record.